GAAAGAAUGUUCUUAUUGCACUACAAUAUACAGAGAAACCCCGUAUUUACGUUAACGGUAUUUACGUUUUCCCGUUAUUUACCUCCUUUGUUUUUGGCCCAAUUUAUUUUCCAUAAGGCGGUAUAUGUCGUUUUCACGCUUGUUACGUCGGAAAAGUUUCUUCAUUCCCGUUAUUAACGUCUCUUUCAGUGUUUACAAACAUCGAAACAUGGCCGCCAUAAAAGAAAGAUACAGCAAAAGCUGCGUAUGUGAAUGCGUUCGCGUCGUGAAUAGUGCAAGUAACCUUGCACUAUUCACAAUACGUACUUCUAUUUCCACAGCUUUCCGCUACGAGCGCUGAUAGUAUCAUUGGCUUUAGCGGUAAAUGUAUUUGACACAUCUUUAACUCUUUGUCGUUAUUAAUAUCUGUGAGAAAAUGGAGAAAGUGAAGCAACGAAAAACUAUAACCGUUGCCGAUAAAAUUAAAAUAAUUGCCAAAUUCGAUGAAUAUGUUGGAUCACGUGUGGACCUUGCGAAAGAACUUUCAAUCCCUGUCGCGCAGCCCGCCCGCCCCCGCCGCCAUGGGGUCGAUGGCGUCCACCACGAUGUCCUCCUCCCCCGGGGGCCCGCCCCCGUCCAGCUCCGCCCCGCCGGGCAGCGGCUCCAGGGACUCCUUGGCCGCCCGCCGCUGCAACACCGCGCGCAGGGAGAUUGGACGGUCUCCGGGUGAAAGGUAACAAGCCACAUUUUGAUGAUUUUUAGAGAACAAGUCACUUAAACUCUUAAGUAUACUUAGAAUAUGUAAUGCAUUUUUAAUCAUUGGCAACUAUGUUGGCAAAUAAAAGAAUAAUGCAAGAAAAAUUUAAGUAUUUAAAUUAAAUUUUUAUUUAAGAGUUUUUUGUUUCUCCUGCAAAAAGUGAAUUCUUGACUUGUUACCUUUUACCCGGAGACGGUCCAAUUAAUCUAUGCUCUGCCUACGAAACAAUUAAAGGAAAAAUGGUUAAAAUUACAAAUACAAAAAUUAAAUCAAAAAAAGGCAAAGAAUCAACAUCUGUUAUUUUUGGUACAAAAAAUUAAUAAAUAUUUAUAAAUAAAAAAAAAUAGUGACUACAACUAUCAUGUAUGGAUUUAGCUAUUAUUUUAGCGGAUUAGUCUCUUCAAGAUGAUGAAACCCUUGAAACAACCCAGAUUCUUGAUCGUUCUUUUCAGUCGCGUCAAUAAAUACUGUAGUACUUCCAUAAGUUAACUGCAUACUUAUCAACAUUAGCAGCACAAACAGGAAGGACCCUUCAACCUGCAGUGCAGAAUUUUUUUUUUGUUUUUCUUGGAAAAUGUCCCACAUACACUUUUCACGUACAUUACAAUUUACAUUAUACGGUACUUAAAAGUAGUUUCCUUAACAAAGGAACAAUUCACGAAAUUUCUAAAGAUUCAGAAAUUCCUAUUAACGAAAUUAUACUAAUGUUGAGGGUGUACAUUUCGCAGUGUCAACAAAUUUCAGUUUUAUGGAAUUCACCAGUCAGAAUCUGGGAAGGCUUCUCUGGCCAUCCACCAUGCGUGGCAGCUUGCGCGGUGCACGCUUGAUGUGCGGAUUCGUCACAUUCUUCAGUCAAAUUUCCUUCAUCGGAAGUUUCACCGGCGAGAGGAUAUAAAUCAACAUUUCAAUCAGAGAUUAGCAUUAAGGGAUCUGUAAGUUUCUGUUCUCCACAGGACGCUUUUGGUGGGAGAAUAAUUAACCUAGGGUUUUAAUUAAUCAAAUAAAAAAUUACUUCAGAUCAAUCACAAAAAUAAACUUUAAAGCAAAAUACUACAAUCAGUCUUUAUAAUUUAAAAUAUAGGUUCUGAGUAAGAUUUUACGGUAAACUUUACUUAAGGUGAUUUUCAGAGUACUCAAAAUAAUUUAAGUAGGAACAUGAUCAAACUAGAUCAUAGUUUUUAAAUAAGUGAGUAAAGAAUUAAAGAUUUUGAAAGAUAUGAGAUACAUUGCAAGUACUAUCCUUUAAUACAUUAUUUCCCCAUAACAGUUCAUUUAUUUAUUAUUUUUAUAUGAACUUCUCUACUAACAAUGAUAACAAUAAUAAUCAAAACAUUUAGUAUUCCAAGUAUCAUACCAUAAAAAUCUUGUUUCACAAGUAACAAACCAACAAAAUGUUCAGUGAUGCUAUCUUGUACAUUUAAAAUUUAAAGGCAAUUUUUUUUUUAAUUUUAUUAUUUUGGUUUCAAGUUUCAUCGACAACAGGAACACCAGCCAUCUCAUAAUUUCCUGGAAAUAUUUUGUAAAACCAUUGCAGACCAAAUCCUGGACGCAAGUACGGGACUCGUCUCGGUUCACAGACUUGUGGAGACGGCAACUCACGCUAGUCUCGCGCAGGUAGUUGUCGUCGUGAGGAUCCUCGGGGUCACCGAGGGAGCGCUUCUGCACGAGGACAGCCUUGGGGCCCGUCACCCCGAACAACUCCGGCUGGAAGAGGCUCAGCGGCGCCACUAUACACUCGUCCCCCACCUGCCGAACACACACCUGCCUCAUCGCUUGGCCCACAGAAGAAAUAAUGUGUGCGCUGAUUCCACGUGUAACACAAGCGAAACCUCACUUCUUAAUUUAUUCUAUUAUAAGGUAUAGGAAACAUACUAAUUAUUUUUGUCUGAGGUUGAAGAUUAAAAAAUAUGUAAUUAUA
Bacillus rossius redtenbacheri is the source of this 2654-nucleotide long non-coding RNA. RefSeq lists it as uncharacterized. The transcript has 2 exons. The record is from RefSeq and is a predicted model, not a curated record. Lineage: Eukaryota; Metazoa; Arthropoda; Insecta; Phasmatodea; Bacillidae.